CCUACGGGUGGCAGCAGUGAGGAAUAUUGGUCAAUGGCCGAAAGGCUGACCCAGCCAAGCCGCGUGAAGGACGAAGGUGCCAAGCAUUGUAAACUUCUUUUGUCAAGGGACAAAAUCAGGCUCGAGCGCCUGACCGAGGGUACUUGAAGAACAAGCAUCGGCUAGCUCCGUGCCAGCAGCCGCGGUAGUACGAGGGAUGCGCGCGUUAUCCGGAUUUAUGGGGUUUAAAGGGUGUGUAGGCGGACUGUUAGGUCAGCGGUAAAAGCCCGGGGGUCACCCCCGGCGAGCCGUUGAAACUGGGUGUCUUGAGAUGUCGAGAGGUAUGCGGAAUGCGCAGUGUAGCGGUGAAAUGCUUAGAUAUUGCGCAGAACUCCGAUGGCGAAGGCAGCAUACCGGCGGCGAUCUGACGCUGAGGCACGAAAGCGUGGGUAUCGAACAGGAUUAGAUACCCGUGUAGUC
RNAcentral lists this ribosomal RNA (459 nucleotides) under uncultured bacterium. Its description in RNAcentral is "partial 16S ribosomal RNA". It matches the Rfam family "Bacterial small subunit ribosomal RNA", at positions 338 to 795 of the family's 1533-position model. The record is from RNAcentral.